GGGUAUGCCAGAUCCGCCAUAAAUACAGGGAGUCCACUGUUCACCUGGACAGAGUCUCCCCUGUAUUUGCACGGCGUCGCACAAAUACAAGUACAUAUCCAGAAUACAACCACUACCACUGAACAUACAAACAUCCAUAUUUAUAUAUCCAUACUCCAUUCACCACAGGUUCACAUUUAAGAUUUAACAUAAAACCACAACUAUCAGUUAAAAUAUUUCUUAUCCGGAAACUAGUUUUGAAAUACUAAGUUACAAA
This 256-nucleotide long non-coding RNA is filed under the name Ananas comosus (pineapple). Its description in RNAcentral is "long non-coding RNA (ACOM_LNC024293)". Lineage: Eukaryota; Viridiplantae; Streptophyta; Magnoliopsida; Poales; Bromeliaceae. The record is from RNAcentral.